UAUGGUUACAUGAAAUCAUUUAAGCUUUCAUCGCCUGAUAUAUGCAUCCCAUGUAAAAAUCUUUCUACUUGGAACUUGUAGAUUAAACCUAAUACUAAGUGCAUUUAUCAAUUUGAUAAAAUAUUAAAUUCAAGUCUUCCUUCUGAUCCAUCAAGAAGUAUAAGAGAGAAAAAUUAAAAGGAAAAUAUAUGUUAAGUGUUUG
RNAcentral lists this unclassified non-coding RNA (202 nucleotides) under Hevea brasiliensis (rubber tree). The record is from RNAcentral. Lineage: Eukaryota; Viridiplantae; Streptophyta; Magnoliopsida; Malpighiales; Euphorbiaceae.